AGUGAAUGUAUUUUAGAAGAAUUUCAUCCACUGUAGAUUGUUUCAGGAUCUACAUAUUCGGAAGUCAUGCACCUUUCACAUCUCAUUUGGAUCAUUCACUUUAUUACCUAUCAUGACAUGGAACACAGGCCUUCAUUCAGCUCAUAUCCGAAGACAUACUUAUUGGUAGGUUGCUUGAAUGUGUGACGAAG
Molecule: long non-coding RNA, 191 nt
Organism: Mobula hypostoma (lesser devil ray)
Lineage: Eukaryota; Metazoa; Chordata; Chondrichthyes; Myliobatiformes; Myliobatidae
Exons: 3
Source: RefSeq, a predicted model, not a curated record